CGCAUCGACCUGGUAUUGCAGUAC
This 24-nucleotide non-coding RNA is filed under the name Callithrix jacchus (white-tufted-ear marmoset). RNAcentral also lists the same sequence under 2 other names. Lineage: Eukaryota; Metazoa; Chordata; Mammalia; Primates; Cebidae. The record is from RNAcentral.